AUUGAACGCUGGCGGCCGGCCUAACACAUGCAAGUCGAACGAGUGGCGGAAGGGUGAGUAAUGUCUGAGAAACUGCCCGAUGUAGGGGGAUAACUACUGGCACCGGUAGCUAAUACCGCAUACCAUCGGAUGUGCCCAGAUGGGAUUAGCUAGUAGGUGGGGUAAUGGCUCACCUAGGCGACGUUCCCUAGCUGGGCUGAGAGGAUGACCAGCAAAACGGGAACUGAGACACGGUCCAGACUCCUACGGGAGGCAGCAGUGGGGAAUAUUGCACAAUGGGCGCAAGCCUGAUGCAGCCAUGCCGCGUGUAUGAAGAAGGCCUUCGGGUUGUAAAGUACUUUCAGCGAGGAGGCGUUACUCGCAGAAGAAGCACCGGCUAACUCCGUGCCAGCAGCCGCGGUAAUUC
RNAcentral lists this ribosomal RNA (406 nucleotides) under uncultured bacterium. Its description in RNAcentral is "partial 16S ribosomal RNA". It matches the Rfam family "Bacterial small subunit ribosomal RNA", at positions 30 to 526 of the family's 1533-position model. The record is from RNAcentral.